Molecule: long non-coding RNA, 1922 nt
Organism: Leopardus geoffroyi (Geoffroy's cat)
Lineage: Eukaryota; Metazoa; Chordata; Mammalia; Carnivora; Felidae
Exons: 2
Source: RefSeq, a predicted model, not a curated record
CCACAUUUUAUAGAAGAAACUGAGAUGCAAAAAUAUGAACUGGUUUAGAGGAAACUGAAGAAAUAGUAAUGAUCGUUGUAAUCACUGUCUUGGCUGAGAACUUCCUGUCUACAGACAAAGAGAACCCAUGAAAGUUUCAUUCUUGGAGAGAACAAAUGCAGAGGAAGAAGACUCUCAGCAGAUGACUCCAGUAGUUGUGUGUCCAGUGGUUCAGAGGGUGAAGAAACCAAAGGCAGGAAGGCAAGAACUCCUCCUGAAAGAAGGUUCACAUCAAGUAAGUGUGGACCAAGGGUAUUUUUAUUUAACUACUGAAUACUUAUUUGUGAUCAUUAUUCUGAAACUUUGAUUGUUCCUUCUGAACCUACUGAACUUACUCUUUUCUCACUGUGUCUACUUUCUAACUUUACUAAUGUCUGUCGCUUCCUCUGGAUAUUUUUACUGCUGAAUCUCUUCCAAUUUGUGAAUUCAGGUCUGAAGCCAAUAUUCUAGCAGUAUUCCAUUAAUUAUGAUAAUAUUCUAAACCAAUAAUAUGGGCCUGGGUCAACCUUUGGAAUGCAGAACCUGGAGUUUUUGCAUCAAUUACUAAUCAAGCAUUCAAUGGGGCAAUGGGCUAGAUGACCUCAGAGGUCCUGCUAACCUUAAAGAGUCUAUGGGUCCAAGGUGCUGACUUCACUAAUAAGUUUGUGUACUUUCCCUUCAACAGACAGCUCACUGGGUCAAAAAUCUGGCCAAAACCAUGAGUUCACUAAAACCUACCAUCAUCGGUAGGCCCAGGGAAUGCUGCAUCUUUGGCAAUACAUCACCCUCUAACUUCUGUGCUGUGCCCCCAUGCCUGUAAAGACCAUGAACAACUGGAGAUACAAGAGGACACUCAGAUUAUAAAAAAAGACUUUGGAUUUCAAGUUUUCAAACAUUCGUUUUAAUGCUUGUUUAAUGAAUUAAAUAAGCAUUAUGUUCUUCUCACCACAAAAAGACUCCCCUUACUUCUACCUUUUUGUUUUCCUCUCAGGGGAUGUGCAAUUCAUCUGAAAAAAAAAGAACACACCUAUAGGUCCAAAACUCUGGUACUCACGCAGCCCCAAAAACUCCCUGGUGGGAACCAGGUCAUGAAGAAAGUGGCAGAGUCUGCCCAGGAAUCAGGAAAGAAGGGCAUUUUCCAGGAGCCUUUUAUGACAACCUUGGAAGGGGGCCAAACUCUAGGUCUUAGCAUCCAGCUCUUCAGACACGGAUGCCUUGACACUACAAGGCAAUCACUUAGAUCCUUUGUCAAGCCUUAUGUAGACUUGGACUGUCUGCAGCACAUAACCUCACAUGCAGCAGCAAUUCUGAGUUAGGUUUAUCUGUGCAAAAAGGAAGGUUCAUGCCUCCUACAGGUAUUUUUAAGAAUUGCAGCUAACAGUGUAUGACCCCUUGCAGACAGCAAGCUCUGUAGCAUUCCCUCAAGCCCCUGGCUCCUCUUGAAGCCUCCUGGCCUGAGAGCUGCAUUUCCUGUCCUGUCACAUUGCUGUGUAUUGGCCGCUACCAAGGAUGGUCAUUCAUUUGAAAUAUUUUGCCACUCCCCUAGCCAGCAAUUUUCCUUUCAAUAAGAGGCACAGAGACCAUUCUAAGUUAUGAUGUCCCUUCUUUGGAAAAUUUUCUCCCCUCAUUAUGUCCUUCUUUAUCCUCUUCAGAACCUGCAGCUUGAGAAGAACCUUGCAUUGUGGAGAGGCCUGGCCUCCUCCCACCCCCUUGCUUCCCUUGGUGUACCUACCAAGAAGUAGGCCUGUGGGGAAAAAACCUCAGAAAGUUACAGAGAACCACCUGGAAUGAUGACACAGAAUGAUGAGAAGGGAUGCUUGCAAGCUUUCUUUGAGGCAAGGUGUGCUUGAACUAGAUUCCAUUUAAAAUUUUUUUAAUUAAAAAAAAGCCACUGUUUAAGUUGA